UACCCGCUGAACUUAAGCAUAUCAAUAAGCGGAGGAAAAGAAACCAACAGGGAUUGCCUUAGUAACGGCGAGUGAAGCGGCAAAAGCUCAGAUUUGAAAUCUGGUGUCAUUUUGGCAUCCGAGUUGUAAUCUGUAGAGGAAUAUUCGAGUGUGGCUUUGGCUUAAGUUCCUUGGAACAGGACGUCAUAGAGGGUGAGAACCCCGUUUACGGCCUUUGUCUUAUGCUCAUGUGAAUCUCCUUCAACGAGUCGAGUUGUUUGGGAAUGCAGCUCUAAAUGGGUGGUAAAUUCCAUCUAAAGCUAAAUACUGGCAAGAGACCGAUAGCGCACAAGUAGAGUGAUCGAAAGAUGAAAAGAACUCUGAACAGAGAGUUAAAUAGUACGUGAAAUUGUUGAAAGGGAAGCACUUGCUACCAGACACGCCUGUAGUUGAUCAACCUCCAUUCUUGGUGGUGCACUCAGCUAUAGGUGGGUCAGCAUCAGUUACACCGGUGGGAUAAAGGCCUUGGGAAUGUAGCUUCCUUCGGGAAGUGUUAUAGCCCAGAGUGUAAUACCAUCUGGAGUGACUGAGGACCGCGCUUCGGCGAGGAUGCUGGCAUAAUGGUCGUAAGUGACCCGUCUUGAAACACGGACCAAGGAGUCUAACAUCUAUGCGAGUGUUUGGGUGUUAAAACCCUUACGCGGAAUGAAAGUGAAUGUAGGUGGGAACCGCAAGGUGCACCAUCGACCGAUCCUGAUGUUUUCGGAUGGAUUUGAGUAGGAGCAUAGCUGUUGGGACCCGAAAGAUGGUGAACUAUGCCUGAAUAGGGUGAAGCCAGAGGAAACUCUGGUGGAGGCUCGCAGCGGUUCUGACGUGCAAAUCGAUCGUCAAAUUUGGGUAUAGGGGCGAAAGACUAAUCGAACCAUCUAG
RNAcentral lists this ribosomal RNA (909 nucleotides) under Peziza subcitrina. RNAcentral's name for it is "eukaryotic LSU rRNA". It matches the Rfam family "Eukaryotic large subunit ribosomal RNA", at positions 22 to 947 of the family's 3401-position model. Lineage: Eukaryota; Fungi; Ascomycota; Pezizomycetes; Pezizales; Pezizaceae. The record is from RNAcentral.